RNAcentral lists this ribosomal RNA (253 nucleotides) under uncultured bacterium. RNAcentral describes it as "partial 16S ribosomal RNA". It matches the Rfam family "Bacterial small subunit ribosomal RNA", at positions 524 to 776 of the family's 1533-position model. The record is from RNAcentral.
GACGAACCGUGCGAACGUUGUUCGGAAUCACUGGGCUUAAAGGGCGCGUAGGCGGCUUCGCAAGUCCGGGGUGAAAGCCCCCAGCUCAACUGGGGAAGUGCCUUGGAUACUGCGGGGCUCGAGGGAGGUAGGGGUGUGUGGAACUUCCGGUGGAGCGGUGAAAUGCGUUGAUAUCGGAAGGAACGCCGGUGGCGAAAGCGACGCACUGGACCUCUUCUGACGCUGAGGCGCGAAAGCCAGGGGAGCAAACGGG